RNAcentral lists this unclassified non-coding RNA (665 nucleotides) under Hevea brasiliensis (rubber tree). The record is from RNAcentral. Lineage: Eukaryota; Viridiplantae; Streptophyta; Magnoliopsida; Malpighiales; Euphorbiaceae.
CAAAAAUUAUAUAUAUUUGAGAAGAAAAAUAAUAAGAUUGAUAAGAAGAAGAAAGGAAAGAAAGAUAGACAUAAGAAGAAGAUUGAUAAGAAGAAAGGAAAAGGAGAAGCAGCUAAACUUCGCAAGGGAUUAGCAUUGGGCUAAGAAUCAGAAGAUGAAUCAGGCUUUUCUUUAGGAAAGGAAGUCAGCUACUCCCUCAGGCUCCGCUCGUCAGCCGACCCAGGCAGGUUGCCGAAGAGGAUUAUGGGCCUAGCCAAUAGGUAGGGCCUUCGCGCUUGAAGCUGGAUCGGGCAAAGCAAAGAAGGAUGGCUUCUGGCCAGUUGGACACCUUAUCUAGAUAGCGCAUUGAGGAGUGAAAACUUUCUUUCGUUGGAGAGGCCUCUGAAGAAGCCUACAGCUAUAGAAAGGCGGUGUGGGGGUCAUCUGGUGUCGAAAAAGUCGUCAAAGUCCUUUCCGUUUAGAAAGAAAGGAGAGGGCUUGUAUAGCAGAAGUAGCUGAAGAAGAAGAAGUUAGGAAUGUUAGCCGAAUCCGGCUAGUCUUAGAUUAUAGGUCCGACUCCUGGAAUCUUUCUCCUAAGAACAAAGAUAUACCUCUGGGAAAGCUGUAGUAUACUAGUAGGUCUUCUGGGAAAGCUGAGCUGUAGACCCCUUCUAAUAGAAUAGGGC